UAUCAACACUUCUUCUUUUAAAUUACAAUUACCUUUUUUAUCAUAAACAUUGGUUUUGCAUUCACAGUUUGAAUAUAUAAUAGUGCUGUUCACUUAUAUACUUAGGAUUCAGAAUUAUUAUUUUGUAAUCACUAAUUGACUUUAAUUAAAUAUCUGAAUUACCAAAAAAAAUGUUUGGAUGUUACAAUAGUAGCACAAUUAUAUGUAUAACAACCCUAUUUUCAAAUAUUGGCUUACAAAGAAAUUUAUUGUAUUUAUUUAAGAAAUGUUUUAUUCUUAUUUCACCUACAUUAGAAUUUUAAAAAAUGACAAAUAUGACAAGUAAAUGAUGGGUAGAAACCCCUUGUCUUUAGUUACUGGCCCAUUAAAUGAUGAACAUCAUAAAGUCAUCAAUAAAUGCAGUAUACUAAAAUGUUUUGUCACAAGUUAAACAAUGAACUACUAGAGAAAAUGAUCUUAUCAGUAAAAUUAAAUCAAUAUAGUAAGGCCAAUCUGAGUGGACCAGGAAAAUCAAUACUGGCUUAUCUAAUAAACUACAGACUACAUUAGUUUAUCAAUAGUGCACAAAUUGUUCACUAAUAGUGCACUCCUAGUGAACAAGAGUGUAAAGUUUGGUCUUAAUAGUACUGUACUGUAGCUGGAGACAGUACGAAAAUGUUCUACUUCCGCCGUUCUGUCAAAAAAGGAUUUUAACUGUAGAAGAUUCAUACCAUUUGAUGCCAAGUGUACAAUAAAAACUGAAAUGAAAAUUGACAACAGAAGUGUCAUGGUCUUGGUGGAAUAUGCUAUGCUCUUCAUUGACCUCUGUUUAAUAAUGGCUGGUGAUAGAAAACUAUCAGGAAUGCUUCAAGCUGGCAAUGGAGGGAAAUGUAGAAGACACUGAGAAAUCACAAGGUUUCAAACAGUUAGAAUAUGCUCACAGUCAGUCUUCAAGAUACUCACCUUAAUGGUUCCAGUUUAUACCUACAUACACUGGAGAUAUCAGACCAAGCAGAUAACUACAGAUAUAUUGACACAGAACAUGAAAUUAAUUGCAUAUCCCAACACAACAUAAGACUUUAAACUGUUAAAUAGGCAGUGAGGCAUUUGUGUGUAACGUUCAUUAUUUGAAAUGAAAAAGUUUGACUUUGCAUUUAAAAGCCAUUAGCAUUAGAUUUUCCAAAUAUAUAUAUAUGUUUAUACAGUUUCAACUGUGAUGUAUAUCCAGUUGUACAUGUUUCCUCUAAGGAUUUAAACACUUUUGAAUUAUAUUAGAAAAUUUAAAUGAUACAUUUAUUCAAACUUAUGAUAAUAUAUAAAACACACACUACCAUGGUUGAUCAUGUAAACCUUCAUACUAUAUUUUUAUAGAAAUUAAGUGAAUCUUUUGAUAUUUCUGAAUACAUUUAUUUUUACUUUGACUGGCUCAUGUAUAAACACAGAAUGCUACAUAAAGUGUAUACUCCAGUGUAUAUCAUAACAUGAUUGAAAUAGAUAAUAGAUAAUAUUUGCAUGAAACUCUGAACACUUAACCACUAUGGCAAUCUGCACCAGUUAAGAUACUUUUUUGUUGAAUAAUGUGUUUUGAUGAGACGAGCUUGUAAAAUAGCUGUAUUUCUGUCAUUUUGUGUAUUUGAAGCAUGUCUGCAAAUGUAGAUUUUAUCAUGUAUUUUGAAUGGAUCUGAAAUACUGUUUAUUUAACUGUUAAUACAACGAUUGACACAUUAAAGAUGGAUUUAUGAAUUGUCUUCAUACAAAAAAUCUUACCAGUCAAAAUUGUAUUUUCGAACUGUUUCCCAAUACAAUAAACUCUCAGUCACAGUUUUGAUGCAUAAACGUAUGAACUUUACUCGUUAUUUGAACUAAGGUCGGUUGUUGGUGAUUGGAAUCAGUCAUCAUCAUCAUCAUCAUCAACA
Mya arenaria is the source of this 1895-nucleotide long non-coding RNA. RefSeq lists it as uncharacterized. The record is from RefSeq and is a predicted model, not a curated record. Lineage: Eukaryota; Metazoa; Mollusca; Bivalvia; Myida; Myidae. The transcript has 4 exons.